GCCCCGGCAGGCAGAGCAUGGGGCGGGACGGGUCCCGCUCCGCCUCUAAAAGAUGGCGCGGCCCCGGCUCGGCUCCCUGAGGGCCCGGCCGCCAUGGCGGCCCCGGAGCUCGGUGGGGUGAACAGCCUCGUGCUCCCUGAGGGAGAAGCCUCCGGCUGCAGGGACGUGUCGAUGAAAAAGCUGGAAGAGCUGGAGCCAUGGGAUGUGCACGUCCUUCACGACAGCACAGCAGGAGGAAUUAGCAGCCAUCAAUCAUUUGGUGUGCAGACCUCUGAGAUCCGAAGGAGACACAAUUCCAUUUGUUUUCUCCUCUGUCUGGAUUACCUGAGCUCCUCAAAGCUCACUCAACAGCUUACCUGAGCAGAUUCCAGAGUGGGACUCCAGCAAUUAAGUCCAGCACUUAAGAAGAGCCCAGCACUCCUGUAAAUGGAUAACAGGAAUAUCUGUCACUGGAUUAGACAGAAUCAAAAUGAACCCCCUGCUAUUUUCAAAGGUCUAGGAGGUGAGUGGAAACUCCCCCAAAUAAGCCAAAAAAAACGUGUUUAUUUAGCUUCUCCUCUGGAAUAUGGAAUGGUAACUGAGGGGAGGAGCUGGGCAGAGCUGGGUUUCACUCUGUGAGGUGAGGAAAGCAAAUGUGAGCAGCCCUUGGUUAAAAUGCCACCUACACUGGUGGGAAACUCCCCAACCCUCAGGAAUUUAUCAUUAUCAUGGGGACACCCAUGGCUUGCUGUUCCCCCCAGUGCCAGGUGGAAAUUGAGUCAGAAAAGACGUGUUUCUUUCUCAGAAAGGCUUUUCUUAGAUGGGCUCUGCCAGCUGAGCUCAACCCCUCAGUUUGUCAUCUGCAAAAUGGAGGCAGGAUGAAUUUUUACCAGGUUUAAUUAGUGCAAAGUGCUCUCUGUAGCAAAGAGAGCUUUUGGUCCGAGGAUCUCGGGCCAAGUACUCAAAUUACAGAAGCUGCAGCCAGCAGCCCACGCUGCAGAGCCCCUGCUGUGGUCUGAGUUCACGUAAUAAAUACAUCAAUAGGUGAGCA
RNAcentral lists this long non-coding RNA (1030 nucleotides) under Cyanistes caeruleus (blue tit). RNAcentral describes it as "lncRNA (ENSCCEG00000011475.1)". The record is from RNAcentral. Lineage: Eukaryota; Metazoa; Chordata; Aves; Passeriformes; Paridae.